CAAAAAUAUAACUGAUUUGAAUUUUUUCAGACGUUAAGGGGCUGUUUGGCUUAAUGUAAUUAGAAAUGUUGGGUGUGUUUGGUUCGAAGUCGAAAUUGGUAUCAGAAUCAGAAUAAGAAUAAGCUGGAAACAGUUCAUUACCUCAUUCUAUUUGAUUCGCCACCGGAAUCGGAAUCGGAAUAAACCAUUUCCAUUGUCGGUGUUUGUUCGGCUAGAUAUCAAAAAUGUAAUAAAAUUAAUAUAUCAAUUUUAUCUUUUUAAUAUAUUACUUUUAAUUCAACCUGUAAAUUAAAUAUUAGAAAUUUACAUCAAAACUUUAAAAUGAUGUCAAAAUUUUAAAUAUAUAUUUUUAAAAAUUAAAAUUUGAAAUUGAACGGAUAAUUCAAAAUAUAAAACUAAAUUUCAAUUUAUUCAAAUUCGAACUUAAAAUUAUAAUUUAAAUUUCAAUUUUAAUCCAUAAAUUUAAUUUAAAUUUAAAAUAAAAUUUGAAUAAAACUUUAGAUUUUAAAUUAAAUUUAAAUUUAAAUUCAAAUUUAUAAAUUAAAUUCGAAAUGCAUGAUUGAAUUUUAAUUUUAGUUUAAGUUAAAAUUAAAAUUAAAAUUUUAAGUUCAAAUUAAAAUUAAAAUUUAUAAAUAUAAUUUUUAAACUUAAACCUAUGUUUUAAUUAAAAAAUAACCUUAAAAAAAUUAAAGUUAAUCCGAACAAAUUCAUUAUGCCCGGAUUCAAUUUUCAAUCCGGCCUUCUAGGCCAGAUUGGAAAAAGGGGUAA
This 768-nucleotide long non-coding RNA is filed under the name Ananas comosus (pineapple). Its description in RNAcentral is "long non-coding RNA (ACOM_LNC033308)". The record is from RNAcentral. Lineage: Eukaryota; Viridiplantae; Streptophyta; Magnoliopsida; Poales; Bromeliaceae.